CAGUAGCCGCGGUAAUACGUAGGUGGCAAGCGUUGUCCGGAAUUAUUGGGCGUAAAGGGCUCGCAGGCGGUUUCUUAAGUCUGAUGUGAAAGCCCCCGGCUCAACCGGGGAGGGUCAUUGGAAACUGGGAAACUUGAGUGCAGAAGAGGAGAGUGGAAUUCCACGUGUAGCAGUGAAAUGCGUAGAGAUGUGGAGGAACACCAGUGGCGAAGGCGACUCUCUGGUCUGUAACUGACGCUGAGGAGCGAAAGCGUGGGGAGCGAACAGGAUUAGAUACCCCCCGUAGUCCCUGUCUCUUAUU
Molecule: ribosomal RNA, 301 nt
Filed under: uncultured bacterium
Lineage: Bacteria
Description: partial 16S ribosomal RNA
Rfam family: Bacterial small subunit ribosomal RNA
Source: RNAcentral